This 253-nucleotide ribosomal RNA is filed under the name uncultured bacterium. RNAcentral's name for it is "partial 16S ribosomal RNA". It matches the Rfam family "Bacterial small subunit ribosomal RNA", at positions 524 to 776 of the family's 1533-position model. The record is from RNAcentral.
UACGUAGGGGGCAAGCGUUAUCCGGAUUUACUGGGUGUAAAGGGAGCGCAGACGGCAUGGCAAGUCUGAAGUGAAAGGCAUGGGCUCAACCCGUGGACUGCUUUGGAAACUGUCAGGCUAGAGUGUCGGAGAGGCAAGUGGAAUUCCUAGUGUAGCGGUGAAAUGCGUAGAUAUUAGGAGGAACACCAGUGGCGAAGGCGGCUUGCUGGACGAUGACUGACGUUGAGGCUCGAAAGCGUGGGGAGCAAACAGG